AGCGAACGCUGUGCGGCAGGCUUAACACAUGCAAGUCGAGCGGGCGUACAAUACGUCAGCGGCAGACGGGUGAGUUACGCGUGGGAACGUACCUUUUGGUUCGGAACAACCCAGGGAAACUUGGGCUAAUACCGGAUAAGCCCUUACGGGGAAAGAUUUAUCGCCGAAAGAUCGGCCCGCGUCUGAUUAGCUAGUUGGUGAGGUAAUGGCUCACCAAGGCGACGAUCAGUAGCUGGUCUGAGAGGAUGAUCAGCCACAUUGGGACUGAGACACGGCCCAAACUCCUACGGGAGGCAGCAGUGGGGAAUAUUGGACAAUGGGCGCAAGCCUGAUCCAGCCAUGCCGCGUGAGUGAUGAAGGCCCUAGGGUUGUAAAGCUCUUUUGUGCGGGAAGAUAAUGACGGUACCGCAAGAAUAAGCCCCGGCUAACUUCGUGCCAGCAGCCGCGGUAAUACGAAGGGGGCUAGCGUUGCUCGGAAUCACUGGGCGUAAAGGGUGCGUAGGCGGGUCUUUAAGUCAGGGGUGAAAUCCUGGAGCUCAACUCCAGAACUGCCUUUGAUACUGAAGAUCUUGAGUUCGGGAGAGGUGAGUGGAACUGCGAGUGUAGAGGUGAAAUUCGUAGAUAUUCGCAAGAACACCAGUGGCGAAGGCGGCUCACUGGCCCGAUACUGACGCUGAGGCACGAAAGCGUGGGGAGCAAACAGGAUUAGUUACCCUGGU
This 719-nucleotide ribosomal RNA is filed under the name uncultured bacterium. RNAcentral describes it as "bacterial SSU rRNA". It matches the Rfam family "Bacterial small subunit ribosomal RNA", at positions 28 to 791 of the family's 1533-position model. The record is from RNAcentral.